RNAcentral lists this ribosomal RNA (253 nucleotides) under uncultured microorganism. RNAcentral's name for it is "partial 16S ribosomal RNA". It matches the Rfam family "Bacterial small subunit ribosomal RNA", at positions 524 to 776 of the family's 1533-position model. The record is from RNAcentral.
UACGUAGGGUGCGAGCGUUAAUCGGAUUUACUGGGCGUAAAGCGUGCGCAGGCGGCCCGUUAAGACAGGUGUGAAAUCCCUGGGCUCAACCUAGGAAUUGCGCUUGUGACUGGCGGGCUCGAGUAUGGUAGAGGGGGGUGGAAUUCCUGGUGUAGCAGUGAAAUGCGUAGAGAUCAGGAGGAACACCGAUGGCGAAGGCAGCCCCCUGGGCCUGUACUGACGCUCAUGCACGAAAGCGUGGGGAGCAAACAGG